This 740-nucleotide ribosomal RNA is filed under the name Salmonella enterica subsp. enterica serovar Typhimurium str. STm10. RNAcentral's name for it is "bacterial LSU rRNA". It matches the Rfam family "Bacterial large subunit ribosomal RNA", at positions 1 to 672 of the family's 2925-position model. Lineage: Bacteria; Pseudomonadati; Pseudomonadota; Gammaproteobacteria; Enterobacterales; Enterobacteriaceae. The record is from RNAcentral.
GGGUUGUGAGGUUAAGCGACUAAGCGUACACGGUGGAUGCCCUGGCAGUCAGAGGCGAUGAAGGACGUGCUAAUCUGCGAUAAGCGCCGGUAAGGUGAUAUGAACCGUUAUAACCGGCGAUUUCCGAAUGGGGAAACCCAGUGUGAUUCGUCACACUAUCAUUAACUGAAUCCAUAGGUUAAUGAGGCGAACCGGGGGAACUGAAACAUCUAAGUACCCCGAGGAAAAGAAAUCAACCGAGAUUCCCCCAGUAGCGGCGAGCGAACGGGGAGGAGCCCAGAGCCUGAAUCAGCAUGUGUGUUAGUGGAAGCGUCUGGAAAGGCGCGCGAUACAGGGUGACAGCCCCGUACACAAAAGCGCAUGUGCUGUGAGCUCGAUGAGUAGGGCGGGACACGUGGUAUCCUGUCUGAAUAUGGGGGGACCAUCCUCCAAGGCUAAAUACUCCUGACUGACCGAUAGUGAACCAGUACCGUGAGGGAAAGGCGAAAAGAACCCCGGCGAGGGGAGUGAAAAAGAACCUGAAACCGUGUACGUACAAGCAGUGGGAGCCCCACCACCAAAGCAUUCUCUGGUGUUGAAGGCCCUGCAAAGCAGCAUCGCGGUGGCGGAGCGUCGUUUGCGACGCCCAACACACAAAACAAGCGGUGAAUGCUUUGGGGUGGGGUGACUGCGUACCUUUUGUAUAAUGGGUCAGCGACUUAUAUUCUGUAGCAAGGUUAACCGUAUAGGGGAGCCGGAGG